This 1016-nucleotide ribosomal RNA is filed under the name uncultured bacterium. RNAcentral describes it as "bacterial SSU rRNA". It matches the Rfam family "Bacterial small subunit ribosomal RNA", at positions 357 to 1376 of the family's 1533-position model. The record is from RNAcentral.
AGGAAUAUUGGUCAAUGGGCGCAGGCCUGAACCAGCCAAGUAGCGUGAAGGAUGACUGCCCUAUGGGUUGUAAACUUCUUUUAUAAAGGAAUAAAGUCGGGUAUGUAUACCCGUUUGCAUGUACUUUAUGAAUAAGGAUCGGCUAACUCCGUGCCAGCAGCCGCGGUAAUACGGAGGAUCCGAGCGUUAUCCGGAUUUAUUGGGUUUAAAGGGAGCGUAGAUGGAUGUUUAAGUCAGUUGUGAAAGUUUGCGGCUCAACCGUAAAAUUGCAGUUGAUACUGGGUGUCUUGAGUACAGUAGAGGCAGGCGGAAUUCGUGGUGUAGCGGUGAAAUGCUUAGAUAUCACGAAGAACUCCGAUUGCGAAGGCAGCUUGCUGGACUGUAACUGACGCUGAUGCUCGAAAGUGUGGGUAUCAAACAGGAUUAGAUACCCUGGUAGUCCACACAGUAAACGAUGAAUACUCGCUGUUUGCGAUAUACAGUAAGCGGCCAAGCGAAAGCGUUAAGUAUUCCACCUGGGGAGUACGCCGGCAACGGUGAAACUCAAAGGAAUUGACGGGGGCCCGCACAAGCGGAGGAACAUGUGGUUUAAUUCGAUGAUACGCGAGGAACCUUACCCGGGCUUGAAUUGCAACUGAAUGAUGUGGAGACAUGUCAGCCGCAAGGCAGUUGUGAAGGUGCUGCAUGGUUGUCGUCAGCUCGUGCCGUGAGGUGUCGGCUUAAGUGCCAUAACGAGCGCAACCCUUAUCGAUAGUUACCAUCAGGUUAUGCUGGGGACUCUGUCGAGACUGCCGUCGUAAGAUGUGAGGAAGGUGGGGAUGACGUCAAAUCAGCACGGCCCUUACGUCCGGGGCUACACACGUGUUACAAUGGGGGGUACAGAAGGCAGCUACACGGCGACGUGAUGCUAAUCCCGAAAGCCUCUCUCAGUUCGGAUUGGAGUCUGCAACCCGACUCCAUGAAGCUGGAUUCGCUAGUAAUCGCGCAUCAGCCACGGCGCGGUGAAUACGUUCCCG